Non-coding RNA from Xyrichtys novacula (pearly razorfish), 6849 nucleotides. Lineage: Eukaryota; Metazoa; Chordata; Actinopteri; Labriformes; Labridae. The record is from the annotation of a GenBank genome assembly.
UGGGAGUUUAGGGACCUGCAGCUCCUCUUCUGCAAACACAGCGUUCGACCUCCGCAAACCCACAGACCUGAUAAGCUGCUAAUCAGUAACAGUGUGUCUGAUAAAAACAGACAAAAAAACACAAAGUCAAUCUGCAAACAACAGAUUUAGGGUCAUAUCUUCACAAAAACUCAAACAAAAAGGCAGCUGAUAACCCAAAUAUGCAGUUAAUAAUCUAAACAUGUAUAUAUAGAAUUAAUUCAUGCUUUUUUACUAUCGUAGACUUCUUAUAAAUCACUGCAUAAUAAUGUUUACUGAGCUCAAAGUUUCAGUCUUCUUAAAAAUGUGAUACCUGAGUACUUAAAGCUGUUUACAGGGAGACAAAAGGUUUGUAUAUUAACACAUUUGAUGGUUCAGACUUCAUGUUAAUACUGUGUUUGUAGGCUUCGUGUUUAAACUAGAAAUAAAAAGUUGUACGUGUCUUUUGAUGAAGUAUUUCUUUAGAUGGAGGAACUCUACAGCCAGGGCUUGAACAGGGUUUGGUUUAUGAUCGCAGAGGAGUUUUACUGUCUGCCUUUUCUUCUUACUUCAGUCAUAUAGUGAGACUCCACAUCAUGACACAGAGCUGGUCACCUUUUGUGGAGUUUUCUGAAUCCCCUAUUACCCAGAACAUUGUGGUCUGCUCAUCGUCUCUCAAAGUUAUCAGGCCUUUCUCCUCUGGAAUCAUCGACCAGUCGAGGUGCAGAGGUCAGACACCCUCUCUACCUUUAAAAGUAGGCUCCAGACUUUCCUCUUUGUUUGAGCUGGUUCAGACCUGGAGCAGCUCUUCGUUAUGCUGUAGGGGGGACACACUGAGCACCUUUCCCUCUAUUCUCCAUCCUCUUUCUAUCUGUGUCAUUAGCUUUAAAUCAUCAUCUGCCAUCAGAGUCUCUAAAACAAUCUUUUCUGUGGAACAAUGAUGCUCUGUGUUUUCAUGAUGCAUUAUGGGAAUUCUGUAUAAAGCGGAAAGAUUUAUGAAACAUGAGAAUAAAGGUCAAAUACCUCCAAGCCACUGCAGCAGUUCCUAUCACAUGUUUUAAUAUUGUAAGUGACUCACACAGCAGAGCUUAGAGCAGCCCUGAUGUGAUCCUGUUCCAAAGCUUGAAACAAAUCUGCCCCCUACUGACGGAAACAGAGAAACACAGACACUGUGUCUGUUUCUGAAGGCCUGAAUGAGGGAGAUCUUUCUCAUGCACUGUGAUCAUUUUGGGUUAUAAAUGUUGGUUCACAUGAUAGGUUUAUUUCAGCACAUGUGGGACUAAAAGGAAAUGAACUUGCAGAUAAAUGUGCAAAACAAGCAUUUGAGUCAGACGUAUCAGUUGACACUUGGUAAAACAGAAGCCUAAGCAAUGAUAAGGAGGAUAUUAGCAGAAACAAAGGGAGAGAAUCAGAAAUAGGAAAGGAGACAAAUGUUUGGAGAUUGAGAUUAGAACACACAGGGUUAAAUAACUAACAGUCAGGCAGCAAGAGAGAGAGAGAGAUUUAGUGUUAGUGGAACCUUAAAGCUCCUAUGAGGACUUAAUUGGUGCAUAUGAAACAGACUGAACCUCAUACUAAUUUCUUGUCAUGACAUAAAAAAUCAAACAAGUCCUUCAGAGAAAAGACUUGCUUUUUUCUUAAACAUUAGGUGUCAGCCGAGCAGCUGAGGAAACAGCUUGAAGGAAAGACUGUUUUGUCUAAAAGGGGUCUUUAAAAUGUAUGUAAACCAGAAGUUUCUCACAGGAGCUUUAAUAUGCAUUUAUCUGUGAGCCGUUGCAGUAAUCAUGACGGACCAAAAGAUGCUGGUUAUGCACCAAUGCAGUUUGCUACUGCAGCGUAAAGAAGAAGGUUUGCAACUAUAUUUCUGCAAUUCAUCAGAGCAAGACAGGGUUGGUGAGGAAAAGUGUUUCAAAGAGUUCAGUCUGAAGGUGUUUAUGGAGGGCUCAGUAUCUCACACUUGUCAAAGCAUUAAAUUCACCAUUCAUAGUCAUCUUGGCUCCCUACUGUGUCCUCUAAUUAAAAAAUCUGUAAAAAGUAUCCUUCAAAGUUUCCACAAAAGUGAUGAUUGGAGAGAUUAAACACAGCCAGGACAGACCAGCACCCUCCCGUACAGUUAUACUGGAUCCAGAGCCAACUGCAGUCUGCAGCUGACCCUCAUAAUACCACAAAACUUUAAAGGAUAGUCUGAGUCAGUUAUCACUUUAGACAAAUUCAACUACCAGAAAAUCAAAAUUCUUUCUCCAAAGUCCACCUAAACAGUCUAUAAAUAUGCAAAAUAUUCAUAUUUCAAUUAUUCAUCCUUUAUUCAUCUUCAUUCAAACUUUCAUAUUGUAAAAUUAUGGCUUUAAUAAGUAGUGGGACCAUUUAAGUUUGACUCAAGUGGCACUAACAGUGAAUUAAAUCUCAUAAUUUACAGAUUUUUACAGUGUAUUUUUUAAUUAUUUCAGCUGGAUUCUGAUAUGGCAAAAAUCAGACUCAGUCUGCAUCAGCACAGGAGAGUAGGGAAGUAUAAGCUGUCUAAGGAUACCAAGGCAAAUACAAAAAUGGGUAUGUUAAUUAAACAUUGGUACAAUUUGUAUGAGAUAUAUGAAUAAUGGUGUAGGUAUGAGGUAGAUGAUUGAAAAUAAACUGUCUCACAGUAAUAACAUGGGAACAGCUGCAUAGUUUCAUACUGAUACAGUUAAAGAGCGAAGAGGGCGGAUUUUACGUGGAAGAAUAAAAAACAAAAUAAUCAAAAUAUGAUUUAAGAGUCGACAUUAUUCGCACAGGAAGUGUUUUAUUCUGGGUGUUGGUUACUUAUAUAUCAUAUUAAACAGCAUGUUCAAUCAUUUUUGAUGUGGUGCUCGUGAGUAUUUCAUGGACAUGGAGCUUUGUUUUAAUCACAUUUUAUCAUUUGUUUUUUGGCACCACAAAUUCAGUCGUGACACUCCUCUCACCUUUCCCACAGUAUCCAACACUGAUUAGGAUACAAACAAAUAUAAAAAAAACUCAAAAAUAGAAGAAAACAUUGAGAAAUUUGCAAUCUUUUAUUUAUGAGGAAGUUUGGUUACAAAAACAUAAUGUAGUGCAGGGCUACAAAAAAGAAAAAAACACUAAUUUGAUCAACUUUUCAUUUUUAUCUCCUUAUUUAUUUCAUAGUACUUUCAUAAUUAGCCAAACUUGUUAAUGUGCUGUUAUUUUUUUUUCUUUCUCUCAGUUAUCAUGGCCACAUUUCUUCCAAUAUAUAUAAAAUUUCUCAUAUUUCCUUCGACUUGAAUUCCAUCUUGUUUCUUUAUAAAAAGUAAUGAAUAUAAAGUUCGGUAUUGCAAGAGAGCGGUCCGUACUUUCCCAGUUCAGCACAAUCAGUCUUCUUGAUGUAAAAACAUAUUCAUCAAGAGUGCUGCAGGUGCAAAGCAAUCAUGAUGAAUGUCCAGUAUGUGCAGAACUUUGCCUCAAGGGGGAUCUCUAUAGAAGCUUUAUGUGAUAUCAAGUUGACUAUUUCUAUCCAGAACAGCCAGAUCAUUUCACAUUUUCACUUACACUGGAUAACUGUAAACACAUUAUUGCUGCGCUCGGAGCAAAAUUCAAACUUCAUUACACAGAUUAAUGCUCAAAUAAGACAGAAAAUAAAUCGAGACAUUAUAAAUACAUCAUAAAUGACGAUGUAAAUUUGGGUUUGGGAUGAGUUGCUGAAUUUUCCACACUAGAUGAUGUUGGAAACUAACAGUUUAGGCUAUUGUCACCUGAAGUUGUUCAACUUACUUCAGAUUUGAUGAUAAUUUUAGACUAAUCCUAUAAGGUUUGGGUCUAAAAUGUUAAUUCUCAUUUGCAUUGGACCUGCAGCAAAACCUCAGAUACCAUAUUACUCUUCAAUAUCACUAAUUUUGAAGCACGGCUGAAAUAUUCUUUUAUUUUCAAAAGGCUCUUGUUUAGUCUUGUGAAUGAAAUGAGCUGCAAACUAGUUUAUAUCAGUAAGUUUGUGGUUAUUUGCAUAUUUGGUCAAAUGUCCUUAUCUGAACUUAAUAAGAGGCCAAAAUUAACAAACUUGUGGAAAAUUAGACAAUUUAGUCUAAUUAUCUAUGUUCAAUAAAUUAAUGAGAACCAUGAUAAAUAAUAUGAACUAAAACAAGUCCUCUAAACUGCAGUACCAAGUGUGCUGGAGGUCUGCCGCAUUACUUCCGGCUGCAUUAGUAUCACUAUCAUGCCACUGCUCCCUCCCCUAAUCUCCCAGCAUGCAUCACCCUCCGACUGUGACUGUAUCCACUUUAAAAUCUCUCAACUGAUCCUUCCAAGUACAAUAUGUUCCCAACGCAAUGAGGUGAAUCCAUCCGCCCAUUUAGACGAGAUGCAUGGCUGCCAGAAGAUGGAGCCACUUUCCACCAAAUGACUCAACAUUACUUCAGCGACACAGAGGCUGAACCGAGGGUGAGGAGGCCACAGGGAGUGGGGAGGUGUAAGGACGUUACAAGCAGUUAGCUUCCCACUGGGAUCUUUUGUCUGGGGACUUGGGGGCAGCUUGGGCUUACUGGCCCCAUUUGCACCAUAUGCCAUAGGAGGCCUGGCUGUCACAUCAGAUGAGGACCUCUGUGUGAUGGCAUAACUGACCAAGCAGUUUCCUCCAAGUGUACAUUUACAGCCACUGCGCAGCUUUCAUCACACUGUAAAUACUGUUGAAACGGCUAUAAAAAUAAUCAGGAUUAAGCUAGCGUUCAAUCUGGUUUUACGUAUUUAUACAAUUUAACCUUACAGUUCCCUUAAUGCACACCUUUUGGAGUAUUAAUACAUGCAAUAAUCUUAUGCCUGUCAAAUGAAGCUUGUAAUCUUGUUGGGAUAAGUGCAUUACUGGAAGGCAGUAAAAGACAUAUUUGGUGCCUCUAGUGCUCAAUGAUAUAAUCUACUUGAAGUCAGUUCAUACAUUUUUGGACAAUGUCCUUAACACAAAGGUUAGUACAAUUUCUGUUUUACAUUGUUUUUCAAAAUCAUUAAAAUAAGUAAAGUCACAGCCUUGAAGAUGCACAUUGAAUCUUGUGUUACAAGCAUCCAUUUAAGACUAGGAGUAAAUAACACAAGUUCAGAGAGACACUAAUAUGCAUUUAGAAAAUGACUCAUCGUGUGAUUACAAAUGGCUUUUGGGGGGAUUAAAUUUUUCAGCCAUAAAAUAAAGCAACACAACUACCGUUUCCAAGCAAACUGAAUAUCAUACAGUGAGUUAUGAAACCACAAGCUGAAUAAACGCCACAAAUAAAUAAAUAAAAAUCCCUUAAUGUAAACCCAAUAGGUAGGCUGGGCCAUUGUUUCAGAAAGCCUGCAUAAUACUACAGGGAUUUCCUUGAUGAUUUCACUAUUCAAAUCUAAUUUAACAAAUCAAACUUAUAUCCUUCUUUUCAAGCACUUACUGUAAAAAACAAAAUACACCUACUAGCCAUAACAUUGUAAACACAGCCUGGGCAAUAUUAUGCAAUCCAGCCCUACGACAAAGCCUACUUUCAAGAAGCUUCUAAAUCUUUUGGUGAUAUAAGACAGGUGCUUGUUGUAGGCCUACUUUAAUAUUGAAGAUGCAGUGAUUGACAACCGUGUACUACUCACUGUGUCUCAUACAGAGAGGUGUUCCUUAUAUUUUGUCCGGUUCAUUCAACAAACAUACGUGGUGCAAAAUAUUAGGAACACCUACAGCUAUAAUGCAUGCAUCACCGCUGAUGAGCAACUUUUACCUGUCAUACGAAUUUCCUUUUUUUGAAUGAAGUAAUUUAGAUGUUUUUAUAGAGCAGAUCUUGAGGUAGAGAUUAUUUUAUGGAUUACAUGGUUUACCAGGUGCUAACACUGUUAUGGCUGGUCGGUGUUAUCCUUAUCGAGGAACUACAACAGAAAUCGCAGUGGUUAUCUAGUACGUUGUAAUCAAAAACGGCAAAUUACCGCCGAAAUUAAGAGGGGAAAGAUAAUAUGAUGGUACAUUACUGUAAUAGUACUAACACGAUCAGGCGUCGUUGCUGAUUCAAAGAUGGUCUUCUGCCAUCAUACACUAACUAGUAUUAUUAACUCCCUCGGCGCCAACAUCGUUGUAAAAGACAUAAGUAUAUCUGAUUAAAUGAGCACCAAACAAUGUUAACUAUCACAUUAGAAUAAGUUAAGUAGAAUAGUUAUCUUGAACAAUGGCUAACGGUUUCGAAAGCAAAUAGCGUGUUUUAAACGAAUGACACAGCAACCGAUAUACGCUUGCGGUUCAUUUGUGAUAAAAUUACCGAGUGUGUGGUGCUAAAUUAGACGUAUCAUAACAGACGAAAGCAUCUUAUCCGCUUGAAGGUGAGCUGUUUGUAUUGUAAAGUAGUUGACAUUAUAAGCCGUCUCUGAGCGGAGUUGUAGUCUGAUGCAAGACGCUGGUGUUGCUAACGUUAGCACUCACGCGAGUCACCUAUAACUAUAUUUUUCCGGUUAGCCGGCGAAAAAGUUGUUAAAAUCCGGCUUGAAACAGCGGUAAAAUGCCUUGUCGACAAGUUAGGUUAGUUGUUAAUAAAGCAAAAACUGCUCAAACAUCUACGUUGUAAUUCAGCUAAGCAUGCUAACGUACGCUGGCCGAGCUAGAGCGCGACCGUCAGUUAGCCCAGAAUUCGGAUGACGGUUGGGGAGUCCAAACAGGCGGGAGGUGAACUCGGGUGUGCUGCCGUUUGUUCCCCAAAAAGAGCACUUUUUUGGAAAACCACACGCAAGGACACGCACUUUUCCGCUGUCUAGUGUCAAUUCCUCAAAAUGGGGUCUGCUAACGUACGUCUCCGCCAUUUUGUGACAGGUUUUUCAUUGAGCAAAGGGGUACGUGUAAUGGUUGAAUGUAACCCCAUCAAGAAGAUAUCCGCUUGGCAGUUACAGGGAGAAGGGAUC